Non-coding RNA from Taeniopygia guttata (zebra finch), 1399 nucleotides. NCBI's taxonomy places the organism in Eukaryota, Metazoa, Chordata, Aves, Passeriformes, Estrildidae. The record is from RefSeq and is a predicted model, not a curated record.
CCUGCUCAACAUCAUAUCCACCUGCCCCCCAACACGCCACCCUGCACAGUGUCACAUCCAUCUAAGUCAUAAUUCAAAAAAUGCCUUAGGCUCGUAAGAGAUGGUACGGGGGCUGAGGGUCAUGUUAGUUCUGGUGUGGGAGGCAAAGAUGCAGUCUUUUCAGAAUGUAUGGAAUUUCGAGACUCCGUUGUAAAGGGGGGUGAACAACUUCAGCAGCAGUCUCUUCAGAUUUUAAAGAGCAUUGAGCUUCUGCCAUAGAAGGAGAGCAGAUAUUCCCUGACCCAUUGUCCCCUGCAGCAGUUGACCUCCUGUAUCCCAGAGAGUAUCUCACCUCCUUUAUCCUGAAGGGGUUUGUCACUCUCCUGGUCCUCUCAGCAGCACUUGGCUCUGCAGGCUCAUCCUCAGCCCCACAGCUGGGUGAUCUCCUCUUCCUCACAACCAGGGCACCACUCCAUGGCAACUGACUAAAGAGACGUGGACUCCAUGGUUUGCACACAUGAAGCCGUUUAUUGAUUCACAAAGUUGAGCUUAUAUACCUUUUCAGCAAUUAGUAAAAAUAGCAAAAGUAUAACAUUUAUGUAAUUAGGUAACAUUGCUUAAUUCAGAGCCUCGUACUAACUAACACAGGUAUAUGUUAUCCCAUGUAAGUUCUGCUUACCAAGCACAUUGUACCAAGCACACUGCUAACUUCUGCAUUCCUUCUUCAAGGUUCUGCUUUCUGUUGCCAAGGCUUGUGGCCUACUAAAGCUAACAUAUCCACUUCUGCCAUGAGCUGGACAGCGCUCCCAGCUCAGCUUUCUGGCUGUGUUCCUACAAGGUCCUGCACAUGGGUCAGCACAAACACAGACUGGGCAAAGAAUGAACAGGGAGCAGCCCUGGGGAGAAGAAUUUUUAGAGUGUUGAUGGGUGAGAAGUUAAACAGGAUUGACCAUAUGUGCUGAGAGCCCAGAAGCCUCCAUGUGUCACUGUUGAGGCAGGGAUUGAAAGAAAAGACUCCAGUGGUUCAGAAGGCAAGAGAAAAAUCUUUAUUACAGGAAGUAGCAUUCUUUUUUAUAACCAGGAUCACUAAGGUGAAAUAUGAUUUGUCUCAAAGUGAAAACCUUUCACGCCAUUGGUGCACUAUGGUAGAACAUAUCUAUAAACAAUAUUAACAGAAAGAGAGUUAAUAAUUGUUUUAAUUCCUUCUCCUAACUUUCCCAGGUUAGGCCUGGGAGAAUUCCCUCUCUUUUCUCUCUGACUGAAUUGAGCAUAUCCACACCCAUGUGCUGGGCUGAUCAGGUUCUGCCCCUCUGUUCUGCUCAGGUGAGACCCCACCUGCAGAGCUGCCUCCAGCUCUGGGGUCCAGCAUCAGAAGGACAUGGAGCUACUGGAGCAAGUUCAGAGGCGGCCAUGGAGAUGU